This 1384-nucleotide unclassified non-coding RNA is filed under the name Bombus terrestris (buff-tailed bumblebee). RNAcentral's name for it is "misc RNA ENSBTSG00005021351.1". Lineage: Eukaryota; Metazoa; Arthropoda; Insecta; Hymenoptera; Apidae. The record is from RNAcentral.
CGUCUGUCAGGAGUUCGAUUAACUCUCUUCACUGGAAGCCAACACGUAGAAAAUUGCCUAACGUCAGUGGCCCUUGUCCCCGCGUCGGAGACGAUGCAGAUUUUCAGCAAGUGAAGACAUUCAAAAGGGACAGUUUGAUCGGGCCUUGAUACGAAUUUUCAUGAAAAAGAACCGAAAACGCGGCUUGGCCCCAGGUACCGCCGGCUUUCCUAAACUCUACAGCGGCAAAGAACCAAAGUGGGGGCAGAACGAGGGACCGAGACGAGGCAUAUUAAAACGGCGUGGGGGCGAGCGAAACGCGAGACCAAAGCAGUUUUACAACACCGGCAGACGCUGCGAUAUUGCUCCGUCGUGCUUUCUGCUUUCUGGGAAAGGAAGAUAUAGUGCGGGCCUGACUACAUUGCACGCAACUAUACAACGUAUAGUAGUACGGCGCAACGCGGCAACGGAAGACAAGGCCGUACCACUCGCGGCGAACUGAGGAUACGAAAACAGUUUCAUACGACCGACGCCAAUGGUCUACGUAUCACCACUAUGAUAGCUCGACAAAGUAAAUAAUAUCGUGGCUAUUCAUUAAUCAAACACGAUGCGGCGGUGGUCGUGAACUUUUACCGGUUCCGUGCGGGUGACGUUCCGCGAUGUGAGACGUACAACAUCAGGUUCUGGACCAAGCACCGCUCAAGCGGAUGAAACAUAGCCCUGUGGACGUUGAUGGAUUCGCGAACCAGCAUCAAAGGAUACUAAAUCUCUAUUAUCUGCUCCUGGCAAAGAUGAUUCCGUUCCGGGACCAUCGUGAAUUCCGCCUGAUCGCCUCCGUUUUCCAAAAUUUUGUAUACACCACCAUAUCUCACAUUAUUGGCAACUUAUUGAAAUGUUCCAAAUUUAUAUCAGCAUCUUAACUUACACUACCGAUCAUAAGUAUUAACACAUUCCGUACAAUCGAAAUAAUAUUAUCCAUUAAUAAUAAAUCCACGAUAAUUAUGUUAUUAUAUAUUUGUUAUUUCCUUUGCAUCGUAUGUGUCUUCUAAUGUAAAAGACUAAAUAAAAUUUAUUAGUGAUACAUCUAUAAAAAAGUAAACAGUAGAGCAAUAUUCAGAACGCUCCUGUUAAAUUUAUAUAUCAAUUUUUACGUUUCGACAGGUUUGAACUACACGGUAAGUGGGACUAUCGGUUAACGCGAAAUUCAAGAAAUACAGGCAAAGGGUGUUAUUAUAAAUCGAUAAACGCAACGCUAUGGUAUAUCCUCGUGCGCUGAUUGGACAUCCUGUACGAGGAUUACUGACACGUUCAUUCAAUUCGUAGUACGUACUACUCGCGCUCAGCCGAUGACUGCAGUCACAGAAUGCGCGUAUAUGGGUGCUGCAAAUCGAACGCGUAGGUGGGG